UAAGGAAUAUUGGACAAUGGAGGCAACUCUGAUCCAGCCAUGCCGCGUGAAGGAAUAAGGCCCUAUGGGUUGUAAACUUCUUUUAGACGGGACAAAACCCCUUUACGUGUAAAGGGUUGAUGGUACUGUCAGAAUAAGCAUCGGCUAACUUCGUGCCAGCAGCCGCGGUAAUACGAAGGAUGCAAGCGUUAUCCGGAAUUAUUGGGUUUAAAGGGUGCGUAGGCGGACUAAUAAGUCAGUGGUGAAAGCCUGCAGCUUAACUGCAGAAUUGCCAUUGAUACUGCUAGACUUGAGUACAGUUGAGGUAGGCGGAAUGUGUCAUGUAGCGGUGAAAUGCUUAGAUAUGACACAGAACACCGAUUGCGAAGGCAGCUUGCUAAGCUGUAACUGACGCUGAGGCACGAAAGCGUGGGGAGCAAACA
Molecule: ribosomal RNA, 422 nt
Filed under: uncultured bacterium
Lineage: Bacteria
Description: bacterial SSU rRNA
Rfam family: Bacterial small subunit ribosomal RNA
Source: RNAcentral